UGGUAAUGAAGAGGAGCAGCUCCAUCUAUAUGGUGAUUCGCGUUUGGAGCUUUCCGUCAGGGCUGAGGCGAAGUCGGAUCGAUCGGCGUGCCUCCCUGACCGCUCAGGUGGCACCUCAGCUGCUUUCAAUCACUUCAGUCUCUUUAGAUAACAUUUCCCUAAACAGAGGAUUUUCUCCGUCAUCUGCAGACCUCCUGGUCCAGACACUCGGAGGUAGGACUGGAUUAAGUGGAUUUAGCUCGCUUCACGUCGGCUCAGGUGUAACAGUGACUCAGGUUUGGUCACCUGCCAGGUGGGGCCUGACUCUCCGGUGUGAGUGGGAGCUCCACUUUAGCUGCCAAACAAAUCUGACUCAAAUCUUACAGCGCCUGAUAAGCUCGAGCCUUUUAUUCACCUGCUGCCAGAAUGUCUCGUCUAACCAGUAAUGAACAGAUGGCCAUCUUUGACCUUGUUUGUCACUUGUGCUCAUUUUAACUUUUCCAUCUCCUCUUCUGUUCAGAAAGACCUCUCCAGAAUUGUCUGAUAAGGUUACUGUCUUAGCAGCACCAAUCAGGUUCCACAUAAUCCGCUCAUCUCCAGAUCCUUCUCUUUGAAUCGGUUAUCGUAGGAUCUCGUAUAAUCAGUGCUGAAAACCUUAACAUGCUCAUCAGAACUCUGCUUCUGGGUUCACUUUAGUGCUAAACAUAAAAAAUUCAACAAAAACAUAUGGAGGGCUUUUGUUUGCAUCACCACAGUGAGUUUCUGUGGAAGAUGGUGAGGGUGAUGUCUCUGCUACAAGACAGAAAGACCCUGGAUUCUUCAAAUAUUUACAUCCGCUUCAACACAUUCUCAAACUGGAACAGCAGAACUUUCAAACAGAGAAACGCAUGUAAAAAACCACAUGAAUAAUAUAUAGUUUGGGGAUUAAUAUUUCUGAAGAUGGGUGGAACUUUGGGAAAAGCAUAUAAAACAAACAAAAAAAA
Molecule: long non-coding RNA, 962 nt
Organism: Oryzias melastigma (Indian medaka)
Lineage: Eukaryota; Metazoa; Chordata; Actinopteri; Beloniformes; Adrianichthyidae
Exons: 2
Source: RefSeq, a predicted model, not a curated record